Coffea arabica (coffee) is the source of this 517-nucleotide non-coding RNA. Lineage: Eukaryota; Viridiplantae; Streptophyta; Magnoliopsida; Gentianales; Rubiaceae. The record is from RefSeq and is a predicted model, not a curated record.
GGACGGCUAGCAGCUGCAAGGGACAACCGAAGCUUCACCAUUUCUUUCUUCCAAAACUCAUCCAAAUCCUUACCAAAACUUCCAUAGAUUCUCACCAAACUUCACAUUCAUUUAGCUUUUCACUUGGACAACAACUUAGCUGCAAAAGGAAGGAGCUAUCCACGGUUUCUUCAAGCUUCAAAGGGCCGAAAAAUCUGUCCAAACCAGCCAUCAAAGUAGGCACGCACGAGAACCUCCAAGAGGACCCUACUGUGGAAGUUUGAACUCUUCCUCCAAUUUACUUGCUUGCAUAACUUGGUUUGAAUUCGGAGGUAAAAUGGAGCAGCCCUCUUGAUGUAUUUUUGUUUUAGGGCUUGCUAUUACUUUUGGUUAUGCCUUUGGUUUUGGAUUGUACUUUUGGUAUGGAAAUGUAACCUUUGGACGAAAUGUAUUAUGUAUACUGACGUGUGGUUUGGAGACUGGAUGACUGUUAUUAAGUUUGAACACUUCCGCAUUUAUUGUAUCUAAGUUAUCGAUU